AAAAUUUUAAAAGUCGAACAGACUCAAUUAUAUAGCUUCUACACCAAUAAUUUAUUUUAAUCCAACAUCGAGGUCGCAAUCCCUUAUUUCGAUAAGAACUCUAAAAAAAGAUUACG
This 116-nucleotide ribosomal RNA is filed under the name Elmidae sp. CH-2014. RNAcentral describes it as "partial 16S ribosomal RNA". Lineage: Eukaryota; Metazoa; Arthropoda; Insecta; Coleoptera; Elmidae. The record is from RNAcentral.